RNAcentral lists this ribosomal RNA (378 nucleotides) under uncultured eukaryote. Its description in RNAcentral is "SSU rRNA". It matches the Rfam family "Eukaryotic small subunit ribosomal RNA", at positions 587 to 972 of the family's 1831-position model. The record is from RNAcentral.
AGCUCUCAAAAUGCAUAGAAUCAUUGCUGCGGUUAAAAAGCUCGUAGUUGGAUCUGUGCUAGGGACUCGGUCCACCUUUGGGUGCGUACUGAACUCCCUAGCUUUUCUGUCGGUUUUCCCAGCAUGGCCUUAACCGGUUGUGUUGGGUAGCUGAUGAUUUUACUUUGAACAAAUCAGAGUGCUUCAAACAGGCGUUUCGCUUGUAUGUUUUUGCAUGGAAUAAUAGAAGAGGAUUUCGGUUCUAUUUUAUUGGUUUUAUAGACUGAUAUAAUGGUUAACAGAGACAAACGGGGGCAUUAGUACUUUUGCGCUAGAGGUGAAAUUCUUGGACCGCAGAAAGACUAACUAUAGCGAAAGCAUUUGCCAAGAAUGUCUUCA